Molecule: ribosomal RNA, 597 nt
Filed under: uncultured bacterium
Lineage: Bacteria
Description: bacterial SSU rRNA
Rfam family: Bacterial small subunit ribosomal RNA
Source: RNAcentral
GGCGGCGCGCUUAAACAUGCAAGUCGAGCGAGAUACUAGAGAAAGCUUGCUUUCUAAUAGGUCUAGCGGCAGACGGGUGAGUAACACGUAGAUAAUUUGCCCUUUAGCGGGGGAUAGCCUACCGAAAGGUGGGGUAAUACCGCGUAUGAUCAUAGGAUGGCAUCAUCCAUUGAUAAAAGGUCCGCAAGGAUCGCUAAAGGAGAAAUCUGCGGCCUAUCAGCUUGUUGGUGAGGUAACGGCUCACCAAGGCAACGACGGGUAUCCGACCUGAAAGGGUGACCGGACACACUGACACUGGGACACGGGUCAGACUCCUACGGGAGGCAGCAGUGAGGAAUUUUGGACAAUGGGGGGAACCCUGAUCCAGCGACGCCGCGUGAAGGACGAAGGUCUUCGGAUUGUAAACUUCUUUUGCAGGGGAACAAGAAAUCUAUGGAAACAUAGGGAGUGAGGGUACCCCGAGAAUAAGCCACGGCUAACUUCGUGCCAGCAGCCGCGGUAAUACGAAGGUGGCAAGCGUUACUCGGAAUUACUAGGCGUAAAGGGUGGGUAGGUUGUCUGAUAAGUCUGCUGUGAAAGCUCCCGGCUUAACUGGGA